RNAcentral lists this long non-coding RNA (386 nucleotides) under Cicer arietinum (chickpea). RNAcentral describes it as "long non-coding RNA (CARI_LNC000440)". Lineage: Eukaryota; Viridiplantae; Streptophyta; Magnoliopsida; Fabales; Fabaceae. The record is from RNAcentral.
GAAAUCUAUCAAAAAGAAGAUGCAGAAAGAGAAAGAAGGAAACGUAUAUAGCAAAGGAAAGAGAAAAAAAAUAAAAGAGAGAGAGAAAGGAGAGAAUCAUGAGCGAGAGUGAGAAAGCAAACAUGAGAAAGGGAGGGUGAUUCACUAAAAUCUGUGAUGGAGUGACGAAGAAGAAACGACAGUGCACAAUCGUGUUGAAAAUACAAUCUAUUAGAGAUGGUGGUGAAGGUUACGGUUCCUCUUCUUUCUUUAUCUUUUUCUUUGUUCUGUUUUUUUGUUGUUGAAUAUUCUAAUCGAAAGAGUUUUUUCGAUGAACUACGAAAAUGACUUUGAUUUUUAUGUUUUAUUUUUUUGGGUUUUUGUUUUCAUGGCGGAAUAUAUUUGUG